RNAcentral lists this unclassified non-coding RNA (380 nucleotides) under uncultured Gemmatimonadaceae bacterium. Its description in RNAcentral is "contains 16S-23S intergenic spacer region". The record is from RNAcentral. Lineage: Bacteria; Pseudomonadati; Gemmatimonadota; Gemmatimonadia; Gemmatimonadales; Gemmatimonadaceae.
UCCGAGUUGACCCCGGCAGUCCUCCCAGAGUCCCCGCCUUGACGCGCUGGCAACUGGGAGCGGGGGUUGCGCUCGUUGCGGGACUUAACCCAACAUCUCACGACACGAGCUGACGACAGCCAUGCAGCACCUGUCUUGGGACUCCGAAGAGCGACCAUGGUUUCUCACGGUCUUCCCCAAGAUGUCAAGCCCAGGUAAGGUUCUUCGCGUUGCGUCGAAUUAAACCACAUGCUCCACCGCUUGUGCGGGCCCCCGUCAAUUCCUUUGAGUUUCAGCCUUGCGGCCGUACUCCCCAGGCGGGGCACUUAAUGCGUUAGCGCCGGCACCCAGGGGGUCGCUCCCCCAGGCACCUAGUGCCCAUCGUUUACGGCGUGGACUAC